Molecule: non-coding RNA, 1307 nt
Organism: Chiloscyllium plagiosum (whitespotted bambooshark)
Lineage: Eukaryota; Metazoa; Chordata; Chondrichthyes; Orectolobiformes; Hemiscylliidae
Source: RefSeq, a predicted model, not a curated record
UUUACCUUUUUAGCCAAGUGGUGUUUAUGGGGAUGUUGCAAGUAUUUGGAACAGCAUUAUUAAGUUGUGAUAGACUCGACUGAGUUUUCAGAUAGAGGCUGCUACUUGGCUAUGUGACCAUUCCCAAGGGGGAUCCUUUCUCAAUAGCAGGGGUAAAGGUGCCAAGAUGGAAGGUUGGUCAGCAGCAUCAGCAUGGCAGCAGGAGCGGUCCACAUGCAGAGUGGCAGACAUGGUUUCUCCCCGCGAUGGGGCAGCAAACACAGUCCAGUGAUCGGGGGGCAGUGGCGCCAGUGGCAGCUGACCCUUUAAGAUGACGGCACCAGCAAGGUGGCAUCUGCAGCCAAAAUGGGACUCUUGGCAGAGCAGCAGCCUGGCCUAGCAGUGGAGCCAGGGACUCCUGGGCAACCAGCUACCCUAGCUACCCCAGUAGUUGAAGCACCUGUUACAUUGUAGUUUAUUGAGAACACUUGGUGGUGUCACUACUAGCUGUUAACUUUCUUAAAGGUACAGUACACCCAUAUCUUCAUAAUACAGGUACUAGGGCUAGGUGCUGGUGUGGACUGGGUUGGAAAGACUGUUAUUCUGAAGUUUUUAUGUCUUUAUUUUUCUUAUUUUUUCCUAAGAAUUUGUUCUUAAGAAUCUGUACCUAGGUACCUUUGUACCUAAGCUGGCACUAUGAUGUGGCAACUUAUAAAUUUUUUGCUGUUGAGUACAUGUGACAAUAUAGCUAAUUCGAUUCAAUAAUUCGAGUGCUAAAGUUUUGCAACUGCUAGUCUCCUGUUUGAUGUCUAGAAAAGUGAAUAUUUUGCUGGAUAAAAGGAAUGCAGGGAGACUGUCCUGUUUGUCACAGCAUUGUAAUGUUUCCAAAGGAGCUAGAACAAUGCAGCGUGAUUACCAGCAACCAAUGACUAAGCAAUGUUUAACACACUGGUAUUAUGUAUAAUCAACCACACUCUGCUUUGUUACGCUGCCAGCUUUUUCCUCAGUGAAGAAUGUAUUGCAUCUUUGUCAGAGUGAUGUGCUAGGUAACAUGUAAUGAACAGUGUUUCAUUCAGAUAUCUCGACUUGCAAUUUAACAUUCAUAUUCAUCCUAUGUGUAACGAGGUGGGUAAAGUUAUAAAACUAUGAAAAUGAACCAAUACAUGUGAUUGCUACUCAAUGUUCUUCUUGUACAAGGAGUGAAAAAUCUUCAUGUUUUAUCUGUGAAGGCUUUAUUCAACAAUGAAAGAAUCCACCUCGUCUACUGUGUCCAUUGCUCUGGACGUGGUGUCCUCUACAUCAGGGAGUCAGAACAUCAACUUGCGGAA